This 236-nucleotide ribosomal RNA is filed under the name uncultured bacterium. RNAcentral's name for it is "partial 16S ribosomal RNA". It matches the Rfam family "Bacterial small subunit ribosomal RNA", at positions 15 to 244 of the family's 1533-position model. The record is from RNAcentral.
GAUCAUGGCUCAGGACGAACGCUGGCGGCGCGCCUAACACAUGCAAGUCGAACGGAAUCAAGAGGAGCUUGCUUUUCUUGAUUUAGUGGCGAACGGGUGAGUAACGCGUGAGUAACCUGCCCUGGAGUGGGGGACAACAGUUGGAAACGAUUGCUAAUACCGCAUAAGCCCACGGUGCUGCAUGGCACUGCGGGAAAAGGAUUUAUUCGCUCUAGGAUGGACUCGCGUCCAAUUAG